Acipenser ruthenus (sterlet) is the source of this 1266-nucleotide long non-coding RNA. RefSeq lists it as uncharacterized. The record is from RefSeq and is a predicted model, not a curated record. The transcript is spliced from 2 exons. Lineage: Eukaryota; Metazoa; Chordata; Actinopteri; Acipenseriformes; Acipenseridae.
ACUCUGCUGCAGUGCAGAUAGGAGCAGGAGGAGAGGUAGCCUGUCUGCUGGUUACAACACUUUCUUCUUUCAAUAACCACAAUACUGCAGUACAAUGGGGAUUUUAACAGCUCUCUGUAUAAUAAUGACAGCUCUAUCAAGUGUCCGGUCUGAUGUAGUGUUGACUGAGUCCGGACCAGCAGUUAUAAAGCCUGGAGAGUCCCAUAAACUGUCCUGUCCUCUGGAUUCACAUUCAGCAGCUACUACAUGAGCUGGGUUCGGCAAGCUCCUGGAAAGGGUCUGGAAUGGGUGGCUUAUGUUUAUAGCAGCAGCACAUCCUAUGCCCCGUCUGUUCAGGGAAGAUUCACCAUCUCCAGAGACGAUUCCAACAGCAUGCUGUAUUUACAAAUGAACAGCCUGAAGACUGAAGACACUGCCGUGUAUUACUGUGCUCGAGAGCCACAGUGAUGAAGUGCAAUGCAGGACUCGUACAAAAACUAUUCCAUUAGAUACAUGUGCAUAGAAAGAGGAAGUGUGACUGGUAACUGGUAUUCUGGUCUCUACAUGCUCCUGAUGAAUUCACACUGUGAUAAAUGUGUUUCAUGAAAAUAAAAUGAAGAGAGACGCUGUUCUGCUUUGAUACUUACCCUAAUAUUGAAUUAAAAUGUCACUGCUGUAUUUAUUUUGAAGUGAUAAUCAAUAUGUAUAAUUCCACUAUUGUAACAGAAAUGGGAAUUUUCACAGGGAACGACAUAUUACACAACAAUGGGAACGUUUCACUGAAAUCAUGAAAACUGUGAUAACCAUGAAAAAAAUACAGCCUUACUUAUAUGGUACUGUGAAAGAGUGGGGCGGUCUGCUGUGAGAGAAACAGAGAGACGGAGCGACAGAGAUACAGGACCUGUGUGAUGAAGGGCCUUAUAGGCCAGCAGGAGAAUUUUAAAAGUAAUCCUGAACUUUACAGGGAGCCAGUGCAGCUGGGAAGAUUGGGGUGAUGUGAUCAUGUAUUUUCCACCUGAUAAGGAUCCCAGCAACGGCACGGGCAGCAGUGUGGAGUAGUGGUUAGGGCUCUGGACUCCUUACUGGAGGGUCGUGGGUUCAAUCCCAGGUUGGGGACACUGCUGCUGUACUCUUAAGCAAGGUACUUUACCUAGAUUGCUCCAAUAAAAACCCCACUGUAUAAAUGGGUAAUUGUAUGUAAGAAUAACAUGAUAUCUUGUAACAAUUGUAAGUUACCCUGGAUAAGGGCAUCUGCUAAGAAAUUAAUAAAUAAUAAUAUGUAUCUUU